Populus euphratica (Euphrates poplar) is the source of this 688-nucleotide long non-coding RNA. RefSeq lists it as uncharacterized. The record is from RefSeq and is a predicted model, not a curated record. The transcript is spliced from 3 exons. NCBI's taxonomy places the organism in Eukaryota, Viridiplantae, Streptophyta, Magnoliopsida, Malpighiales, Salicaceae.
UUCCUUACGCAGCGAUACCACACCAGAAGGGUCCUUACUCUUGUAUAUUAGUCAUUUGCACCGGGAACUCUUCACGUUGAAUCAAAGAUCAAUACUCGAAUGCGGAACGUGUUUUGAUAUAUCCUUUUCUUCAUUACUCUUUAAGUUUUAGUUCUGCUUCCAGAGUUGGAUUUAGCUACACCAGAGGCCUCGGAACUUUCAUCGGUAAUUGUGCUGUUACCGGUGCAUUUGGAGUUGCAGAUGCUGAUGUGCAGGGUGGAAUGACCGGUGACCUCUCCUUCAUGCAACCUGAAUUUAUUCAGAUCAGUAUGCACAGUUAGCACUGCAAUAUUUCCAUAGGCUGCGGUUUUCAAUGUUCCAUUUUGGCUGAAGUAGGCGGAUAUUUUUGCUUCUUUACCGUUUUCAUUCUCUCUAGCUUCUUAUUCGCCCCGGCAUUCUAUUUCACAGCCAAGUAUGGAGACAGGGCUGGAUGAUAAUGAUAACAUCUUUCCUGGGUAACCAAUGGUUAUCUCAGUAUUUGUGUCCUGCACUAAAAGGUUACAAGGGACCGGAGCAAAAUGCAUUGGGAAAUUAGCUUGUUCUGUUUCCUCUAGCUUGUAUUUUUGCCGGGGUUAAUUGUCGCUUAUUGUCUAUAAUUAGGAGGAAAAGACGACGAAUUUAUAUGAAGGAGAUUCAUGUUGUAAUGAAA